UACGUAGGGGGCGAGCGUUGUCCGGAUUUACUGGGCGUAAAGCGCGUGUAGGCGGCCCGUUAAGUGGGGUGUGAAAGCCCGGGGCUCAACCCCGGGACGCCGCUUCAAACUGGCGGGCUUGAGGACGGAAGAGGGGAGUGGAAUUCCUGGUGUAGCGGUGAAAUGCGUAGAGAUCAGGAGGAACACCGGUGGCGAAGGCGGGUCUCUGGGCCGAUACUGACGCUGAGGAGCGAAAGCGUGGGGAGCGAACAGG
This 253-nucleotide ribosomal RNA is filed under the name uncultured bacterium. RNAcentral describes it as "partial 16S ribosomal RNA". It matches the Rfam family "Bacterial small subunit ribosomal RNA", at positions 524 to 776 of the family's 1533-position model. The record is from RNAcentral.